UCCCAGUUAGUACAAUGGUUAGUAUAGGGCACUCUCAAGUUUCGGUCAUCUUCGGAUUACCGAGCACUGCUCAGAUCAGGGUUCGAUUCCCUGGCCGGGAA
Molecule: transfer RNA, 101 nt
Filed under: Ustilago trichophora
Lineage: Eukaryota; Fungi; Basidiomycota; Ustilaginomycetes; Ustilaginales; Ustilaginaceae
Rfam family: tRNA
About the family: Transfer RNA (tRNA) molecules are approximately 80 nucleotides in length. Their secondary structure includes four short double-helical elements and three loops (D, anti-codon, and T loops). Further hydrogen bonds mediate the characteristic L-shaped molecular structure. tRNAs have two regions of fundamental functional importance: the anti-codon, which is responsible for specific mRNA codon recognition, and the 3' end, to which the tRNAs corresponding amino acid is attached (by aminoacyl-tRNA synthetases). tRNAs cope with the degeneracy of the genetic code in two manners: having more than one tRNA (with a specific anti-codon) for a particular amino acid; and 'wobble' base-pairing, i.e. permitting non-standard base-pairing at the 3rd anti-codon position.
Source: Rfam by way of RNAcentral